GGGGAGGAGUCCAAUGUGAUUCGGGUCGGGUCACAGCACUCCGAUUACCCGGUGUGGGUUUAUCUGGUCCAUUACCAAUCGCCAUCGGAAACCUAACAAAGCUCGAAACUUUAUCUUUCCGAUUCAAUGCUCUUAAUGGUCCUCUCCCGCCGGAUUUCGCUAACCUAACUCUCCUCCGAUACUUGUAUCUUCAAGGAAACGCAUUUUCCGGCGAGAUUCCUUCGUUUCUCUUCACUUUACCAAACAUUAUUCGGAUCAAUCUCGCUCAAAACAAUUUCUCGGGUCGGAUCCCGGAUAAUGUCAAUUCAGCGACCCGGUUAGCUACUCUUUACUUGCAGGAUAAUCAACUUACCGUUAUCAGAAAUGUCAAUUCAGCGACCCGGUGGCUACUCUAAAUAUAUGAGAAAUCUAUAUAUAUAAUGAGAGAGUUUUCUCUCCAUCUAGAGUGUCCACAUAGGCGACACAUCAGCGUACACGUCAUCAUACAUUUUUAAUAGGUAUAAAAUGUUACCAAAAAGAUUCGAACCCCUUACCCAAUACAUUUAAUAGGUUCAUUUCAAACCAAAUUGCCAUUUAAAUCGUUUUAAUUGAUAUCAAAAUUUAAAUUAUAUAUAUGACUUUAUAAAACUCCCACUCAAUUUAUUUAUUAAACGAAGAAACAUUUAAAAAAAUUUCACAUACUUUUAUAUUAUCAUCUUUUAAUAAAAGAAAAUAUUUUUUCAUAAACAAUAACAUUGUUUACUAUAAAUAAAAAGUAAUAUAAUAUAACACACAAAAAUAUGUGAAUAGAAGUUAAUAUACAAAUAGAUAAUUCAAAAAUAGAAGUUAAUGAAUUAAUAAAACACAGCACAAAAAUAUAUAAGAUAACAAUAUGAAUAAAAAUUAGAAGCAUAUAGAUAAUUUUCAAAUACAUAUAAUUUAUAUAUGAGAAGUAGAAAACAAAAAAAUAUGUUAUCACGCUAGAAAGACAUUAACCUUUUCAAGAGUUAUAAAAUAUUUAGAUUAAAAAAGUUUAUAUGAUAGUAAACUAUAGAAUUUAGAUUACACGAAAUAAGAAUAUCUAUUUUUCAAGAAAAAAGUAUGUAUCCAAAAUCAAGAUAAUAUAUAUAUAAAAUUGUAUAAUAUAUUUAAGGAAAGAAUUGUGAUUUAAAAGUACAAUUAGAUACAAGAUUUCUUUAAACAAUAACGUUAGAGUGCAAUGUUUCAUGGAAAAUGCAAUGUAUGAGAAUAGAAAGAAUCCAAAUAUAAAAUUUAAUAUGUAGGAAAAAGAACAUUUUAUAAUAGACAAGAAAAAAUAAAAUAUAAAAAUGAAAUAGAUAAAGAGAAUAUAAUUUUAAUAUAAGUUUAUAAUGAAUCAAAAAUUUAAUCAAUUAUUUUAACGAAAAGAACGUGAAAAGAGAUAAAAUGUCGCGAGGUGGACGACUGCAUAUUAGAAUAUGACGAAUAAAAUGACAGCGAAAUAAUUUCAAGAGAAAUUGACUAAAUUCAAAAAGAUGUAUGAACAUGACAUGGUCGAGAUUGUAUUAUAUUUCUCUGAAUUUUUUCAACUAAUUUUUUACCACGUGUUACCUAAAAAUUUGUUGGUUUUUUUCAAGAGAAACAUUAUUCUCAAUAAAAUCUAUGUUAUAUAUCAUUCAUAAUUAAAUAGGUUUAUGUCAUUAUAGAUUUAUCUUUUAAAAUUCAAUAUAUAUAUUUAUAUUCACGUCUUAUAUUGUUAAUAGUUUAUAAGUAAAAUCCCGCGCAUUGCGCGGGGUCACAAAUCUAGUGAAUUUCAAUUACAAAUCUUUACUUAACUAAAACAAAUCUAAAUAAUUAAUGCUAAUGGCAUGUCAUUGUAAAUACUUCUCAACUUCAGGAUUUAUUUGCUAAUUGUGAUCCAAAAAUGUAUAUAAUAAAGAUUAUUUGGUUUCUAAUCAAUUUUAAUUUGUAGUUUAAGUUUCAAUUAACUUGAUCGUUAAUUUAAUAUUGGUUAAUAAAUUAAAUGCAGGACUAUUGAGGUGUGUUGAAAGCUGCAGAUUGCGAUGGAUAAAUUAUUUAAGACCUGAUUUAAAAAGAGGUCUUUUAUCAGAGAGUUGCGUUCACUGUUCAAAAGGAUUUAACUUUGGUAAGAAGAAGAUGAAGAACACGACCAACUUAAGCUUCUCUGUCUUCUUCUUUCUCUUCUGUCUCAUUUCCGUAACAUCAGAUCUAGAAGCUGAUCGACGAGCAUUAAUAGCUCUCCGUGAUGGUGUCCAUGGCCGUCCAUUGCUCUGGAAUUUAUCAGCACCACCGUGUACUUGGGGAGGAGUCCAAUGUGAUUCGGGUCGGGUCACAGCACUCCGAUUACCCGGUGUGGGUUUAUCUGGUCCAUUACCAAUCGCCAUCGGAAACCUAACAAAGCUCGAAACUUUAUCUUUCCGAUUCAAUGCUCUUAAUGGUCCUCUCCCGCCGGAUUUCGCUAACCUAACUCUCCUCCGAUACUUGUAUCUUCAAGGAAACGCAUUUUCCGGCGAGAUUCCUUCGUUUCUCUUCACUUUACCAAACAUUAUUCGGAUCAAUCUC
Molecule: long non-coding RNA, 2541 nt
Filed under: Arabidopsis lyrata
Lineage: Eukaryota; Viridiplantae; Streptophyta; Magnoliopsida; Brassicales; Brassicaceae
Description: long non-coding RNA (ALYR_LNC001121)
Source: RNAcentral